This 440-nucleotide ribosomal RNA is filed under the name uncultured bacterium. RNAcentral's name for it is "partial 16S ribosomal RNA". It matches the Rfam family "Bacterial small subunit ribosomal RNA", at positions 338 to 795 of the family's 1533-position model. The record is from RNAcentral.
CCUACGGGUGGCAGCAGUGGGGAAUAUUGCUCAAUGGGGGAAACCCUGAUGCAGCGACGCCGCGUGAGGGAAGAAGUAUUUCGGUAUGUAAAGCCCUAUCAGCAGGGAAGAAAAUGACGUUACCUGACUACUAAGCACCGUCUCACUACGUGCCAGCAGCCGCGGUAAUACGUAGGGAGCAAGCGUUAUCCGGAUUUACUGGGUGUAAAGGGCGCGUAGACGGGUUGGCAAGUCCGAAGUGAAAGCCGAGGGCUGAACCAUGGGACUGCUUUGGAAACUGUAAAACUGGAGUGCAGGAGAGGUAAGCGGAAUGCCUGGUGUAGCGGUGAAAUGCGUAGAUAUUAGGAGGAACACCAGUGGCGAAGGCGGCAUACUGGACCGUAACUGACGUUGAGGCUCGAAGGCGUGGGGAGCAAACAGGAUUAGAUACCCGAGUAGUC